RNAcentral lists this long non-coding RNA (224 nucleotides) under Carica papaya (papaya). RNAcentral's name for it is "long non-coding RNA (CPAP_LNC010328)". The record is from RNAcentral. Lineage: Eukaryota; Viridiplantae; Streptophyta; Magnoliopsida; Brassicales; Caricaceae.
AACGAAAAGUAAAGAACUGAGCAUCCUAGGAUGACCUUCACUACUUUUUGAAGGAAAUCUGGGUGGUAAACUAUUCACAACCCUUUUAUUGAUCGGAAUUUGGAUAUUGGUCCUCUUGAUCUGAAAUAGUUAAUGAAAGAGUGAGCUACAUUAGCCUAGUAAGAAUAUCACACUACUCACCGAUACAGAAACUGAAGGUUGGUAAAAAUCAUAAAAAUAACCAA